AGUGAACGCUGGCGGCAGGCCUAACACAUGCAAGUCGAACGGCAGCACAGUAAGAGCUUGCUCUUACGGGUGGCGAGUGGCGGACGGGUGAGGAAUACAUCGGAAUCUACUUUUUCGUGGGGGAUAACGUAGGGAAACUUACGCUAAUACCGCAUACGACCUACGGGUGAAAGCAGGGGAUCUUCGGACCUUGCGCGACUGAAUGAGCCGAUGUCGGAUUAGCUAGUUGGCGGGGUAAAGGCCCACCAAGGCGACGAUCCGUAGCUGGUCUGAGAGGAUGAUCAGCCACACUGGAACUGAGACACGGUCCAGACUCCUACGGGAGGCAGCAGUGGGGAAUAUUGGACAAUGGGCGCAAGCCUGAUCCAGCCAUUCCGCGUGGGUGAAGAAGGCCUUCGGGUUGUAAAGCCCUUUUGUUGGGAAAGAAAAGCAGCAGGUUAAUACCCCGCUGUUCUGACGGUACCCAAAGAAUAAGCACCGGCUAACUUCGUG
Molecule: ribosomal RNA, 492 nt
Filed under: uncultured bacterium
Lineage: Bacteria
Description: partial 16S ribosomal RNA
Rfam family: Bacterial small subunit ribosomal RNA
Source: RNAcentral